Picea glauca (white spruce) is the source of this 124-nucleotide non-coding RNA. Lineage: Eukaryota; Viridiplantae; Streptophyta; Pinopsida; Pinales; Pinaceae. The record is from Rfam.
UCAUAUGUACAUGCCUACAACGUUAAUGCAUCAGAUACCAUUAGAACUAUGUAGUUAAGUGCAUUGGGGAUAUAGUAGUACUAUGAUGGGUGACCUCCUGAUAAGUCUUAGUGUUUUACAUGCC